UAAGUCUGAUGUGAAAGCCCACGGCUCAACCGUGGAGGGUCAUUGGAAACUGGGGAACUUGAGUGCAGGAGAGGGGAGCGGAAUUCCACGUGUAGCGGUGAAAUGCGUAGAGAUGUGGAGGAACACCAGUGGAGAAGGCGGCUCUCUGGCCUGUAACUGACGCUGAGGCGCGAAAGCGUGGGGAGCGAACAGGAUUAGAUACCCUGGUAGUCCACGCCGUAAACGAUGAGUGCUAGGUGUUGGAGGGGUCAUACCCUUCAGUGCUGCAGCUAACGCAUUAAGCACUCCGCCUGGGGAGUACGGCCGCAAGGCUGAAACUCAAAGGAAUUGACGGGGGCCCGCACAAGCGGUGGAGCAUGUGGUUUAAUUCGAAGCAACGCGAAGAACCUUACCAGGCCUUGACAUCCUCUGACACCCCUGGAGACAGGGCUUCCCCUUCGGGGGCAGAGUGACAGGUGGUGCAUGGUUGUCGUCAGCUCGUGUCGUGAGAUGUUGGGUUAAGUCCCGCAACGAGCGCAAUCCUCGUCCUUAGUUGCCAGCAUUCAGUUGGGCACUCUAAGGAGACUGCCGGUGACAAACCGGAGGAAGGUGGGGAUGACGUCAAAUCAUCAUGCCCCUUAUGGCCUGGGCUACACACGUGCUACAAUGGGCGGUACAAAGGGUUGCGAAACCGCGAGGUGGAGCUAAUCCCAAAAAGCCGCUCUCAGUUCGGAUUGCA
RNAcentral lists this ribosomal RNA (718 nucleotides) under uncultured Gram-positive bacterium. RNAcentral's name for it is "bacterial SSU rRNA". It matches the Rfam family "Bacterial small subunit ribosomal RNA", at positions 584 to 1302 of the family's 1533-position model. The record is from RNAcentral.